GACGAACGCUGGCGGCGUGCCUAAUACAUGCAAGUCGAACGGACAGACGAUGCGCUUGCUCCUCUGACGAUAGCCGCACGCGUGUGUGUCACGCGUGUAUAACCUACCUGUAAGACUGGUAUCACUACGGGAAAGCGGCGCUUAUACCGGAUGAUAUAUUGCUCCACGUUGUUCGAUAGUGAGAUACGGUUUUUCUGGCUCGUCUCGAUGGAUCCGCGCCGCAUUGGCUAGUAGGUAAGGUAACGGCCUAUGAAGGGAACCAUGCGUGGCCGACCUGAGAGGCUGGUCGGCCACAUUGGAAGGGGGACGCGGUCAAGACUACUACGGGAGGCAGCAGACGGGAAUCGGACGCAAUGGGCGAAAGCAUGACGGAGCAACGCCGCGUGAGUGACGAAGGUCUUCGGAGCGUAAAACUCUGUUAUGGGGUAAGAACAAAUGUGGAAGUAAACAUGGACGGAUUGACGGUAACUAAUAAGAAAGCAACGGCUAACUACGUG
Molecule: ribosomal RNA, 497 nt
Filed under: uncultured bacterium
Lineage: Bacteria
Description: partial 16S ribosomal RNA
Rfam family: Bacterial small subunit ribosomal RNA
Source: RNAcentral